Molecule: ribosomal RNA, 253 nt
Filed under: uncultured bacterium
Lineage: Bacteria
Description: partial 16S ribosomal RNA
Rfam family: Bacterial small subunit ribosomal RNA
Source: RNAcentral
UACGGAGGAUGCAAGCGUUAUCCGGAAUUAUUGGGCGUAAAGCGUCCGCAGGUGGUUAUUCAAGUCUGCUGUUAAAGCGCGAGGCUUAACUUCGUACGGGCAGUGGAAACUGAGUGACUAGAGUACGGUAGGGGUAGCGGGAAUUCCCAGUGUAGCGGUGAAAUGCGUAGAUAUUGGGAAGAACACCAGCGGCGAAAGCGCGCUACUGGGCCGAAACUGACACUGAGGGACGAAAGCUAGGGGAGCGAAAGGG